This 253-nucleotide ribosomal RNA is filed under the name uncultured bacterium. Its description in RNAcentral is "partial 16S ribosomal RNA". It matches the Rfam family "Bacterial small subunit ribosomal RNA", at positions 524 to 776 of the family's 1533-position model. The record is from RNAcentral.
UACGUAGGGGUCGAGCGUUGUCCGGAGUUACUGGGCGUAAAGCGUGCGCAGGUGGCUCAUUGCGCCCGGCGUGAAAGCCCCCGGCUCAACCGGGGAGGGUCGUCGGGGACGGGUGAGCUUGAGGGUAUCAGGGGCUGGUGGAACUCCCGGUGUAGUGGUGAAAUGCGUAGAGAUCGGGAGGAACAUCAGUGGCGAAGGCGGCCAUCUGGGACAACACUGACGCUGAGGCACGAAAGCGUGGGGAGCAAACAGG